AUUUGUCCACUGUCGUUGUGUGGUUUGGUGUGACCGGUGCAGGUGUGGAGGAGCCAUUGUGCUGUGGCUGUGCGCACACUGGAGCUCUGUUUGGCGUGUUGGCCAUCGUGGCGCACGCUCGUUCUGCAGCGUACAGGUGGCGGAUUACUGUCGCCGUGGGGACCGGGCUGCCCCGCUGGAAGCCCCUUGCGUGGGUUUGUGCAUCCUCUUGUUUGGAUCAGGCAGAAGUCGGGGAGUAACUCCGCUGCUUGGCCUGCUGUGACGCUGCGCCGGUGAGGUCGAUUUGGAAACUGAUUCAACGCCACGGCUCGCUGGACGGCGUUGCUGUUUUGGCUCUAUUUGGACUACAGGGUGCUGUGGGCUCCUGGCGGCGACCCAAUCCCUGGUGGCGGUUCUUCACGUUUUCAGUUUGUGUGUGUGCAGUGUCACGGGUGUUUUAGUUUCCCCCUCCCUCAUUGGUUUCGGGCCGCCGAGGUAACCCAGCACUGUCCAUUCCCCCUUCUCCUA
Seriola aureovittata is the source of this 507-nucleotide long non-coding RNA. RefSeq lists it as uncharacterized. The record is from RefSeq and is a predicted model, not a curated record. The transcript has 4 exons. Lineage: Eukaryota; Metazoa; Chordata; Actinopteri; Carangiformes; Carangidae.